AAGAUAAAAUCAGUAAUAAAUAUACAAGAAAUAAAAGGAAAUGAAUUGAAGUAUAAAACUAGGAAAAAAAUUAUGAGAUCACAAAAGAAGACACAGCAGUAGAGGGAGAAUGGUACAUAGGAACCACAAAAUAGUGCAAAACAAUAACAAAAUGACAGAUUUAAGUCUUUGCCUAUCAAUAAUCACUUUAAAUACAAAUGGAUAAAAUUCUGUGAUCAAAUAGCACAUAAUGGCUGAUCGGAUUUUAAAAAUCUGUUCAAACUCUGUAGCCUACAAAAGUCACACUUUAGCUUUAAGGACACACAUGAACUGAAAGUGAAGGGAUGAAAAAAUAUAUUUUAUGCACAGAAAAACUUGAAGAGAACAAGGAUACCUUGGUACAGUUUGGGCUACCCUGGUACAGGUUAGUGACAGGUGUCAGUAUCUGGGAAAGCCAGGGCCAUAAGGUAACAGUUCCCAAUUCCCACCAAGCAGCUGGGAAUGUGAGGCCCUAGGUGGAAGGAGAGAGGUGGGAGAUUCCAACAUGGGCAAGGUCUGGUCAGGUGUAAAAGGGAAGCCUCAAAUGCUGAUGUCACCAUAAGGACAGGAGGGAAAGCUGGGGAAAUGGCCUGGACGGGGCCAGGGAAGCCCCUGACACAGGAUGGGAGGAGCAGGAAAAUGAGGAGGGAGGUGGAGGUUGGUGGGAAACAGGAUCCUGUCUUAGAAACAGGAGAAAAAUAGACCCAGGAAAGAGUGAGACAAUGGGCAAUCAUCAUGAGUAUGAGAUGUUGAGAAAAAAAUCAUUGGAGAAAGGAGACUGGCAUGCUGAGGAGAGGCUGGUACCCGAACCACUGCUCCCUGAUGCGCUUCCCAGAAUGCAUCUGGAUCCAUCUGGGCAGCAUCCCUGAUGGCUACUCCAAGCACACAGUCUACAUGGGUUCUGAGUCACCUUGGGCUCCAGGGUGAGCUUCAGAACCUUGGGGAUGUCCCUCCUGAGUCCUGGGGUCUAAUCUCUCUGGCGGGCGCCCUCUGGUCUCCAUCCUUCAGCCCCCCCCCCCACUGGAGUCCCAUCAGCUGUGCCAAGCUUCUGCCAGAACCGUCACCAGGAUCAGCAAGACCACACCGGCCAGGCCCAUGUGGACAAUGUUCCCCAAUGUGUAGUUCUGGGAGGUGCCAGCUGGAGAGAGAAGGAAGAGGUCACUGACAGAUGACACUGAAAUAGGAGCUACUCCUCCACUUUCCUGUCCAGAACCUGCCCCUACCCCAGCACUUCCCCUGGGCACAUUGCCAGCCUGCAGACAGAUGUGGUGGCUGGAGCAACAGCAGCCAUCUUGCAACAAGAGGUGAUCUUAAUGCUCGUGGCAGAUGACUAAGAUUCCAGAGCAGAACGAAGGAGUCUACAUCCCUGGUGGUAUACUGAAGCUGCCAUAAGAUCUCUGGUGGAGUUUCAGAUCUUGGAAGAGAAUGUCUAGCAAGAGCUGUGAUGGCCCAGUGCUUCCAGAUAGUUAAAAGCAUCUGUUAGGUCUGAUGUCUCCAGUGGCCUCGUCUGACAUCCUAAGUCACAGGAGGGAGGAAGCUGAGGAUUCCACUCUGCCCUGGGCUCCUGAGGCUGGCAUUGGCCUCCCAGGGUUCGUGUCAAUCAGGAUAUCGAGGGAAGGACCUGAGAUUUUUCAGGGUCACAGUCAAUGGAAAGGCUGGCCAGGCUGUGGGCACCAGGUGAGUUUCAGGCAGAGCUGGGGUCCUGAGGAAGGCACUCCCCUCACAUCCUUGCAAGCAGCAGGGUGUGGUCUGAUGACAAGGGAGGAGGGGCCUGCAGCGUUGGCUAUGUCCCAUGCCCCACCUCCUGUCUCAGACCAGGGGUCUCAGCCUCUCCCAGGGCACAGACCUGGGGUUUUCCACAGAUCUGGGUCUCAAGCCCAGGAGAGACUCAGUCCUGUUGAUCACAUUUCUUCAAGGAAAGAGAAACACGCUGUCUGAUCUGAGAUCCCUCCAUUAAUUAAGGCCCAUGUGCUUUGUGAUUCUUGGCUGGACUCUACUCCCCCAGUGUCUGCCCAGACUCCAUGUUCUCCAUUGACCACUGGUGACUCAGGCUGCCCUGAGCUCUGUUCCAACUGGACCCAACUUCUGGGCUUCUGUGUUCACUUCUGCACUGUCUAAUUUUAGCAAGAAUCCUGGUAAGUCAGUGGAACCCUAGAUAUCUGAUCACCCUCUGUAUCUUCCCGGGUUCCUCAUUCUCCACCAUCCCCAGGUGAUGUCUGGUCACCUUCACCAGCCAACAGUAAGAACCCAGUUAGAAUGGUUUAACCAGAAUCUCUUACCUCUGAUGUUUCCUCUUACUAAUUUUCCAUUUACAGGCCACCCUACUCCUUGGCUGUAAAUUCCAAGUUGCCCAUGCUAUAUUCAUUCAGACCAUUUUCUUUUCCCCACUGCAAAAUCCCAUUACUGUGGUCCCUAUACCUAUUGUAUUGGUUUUGAAUAAAGUCUUCUGUAUUGUGCUUUUAAAAAGUGGCAUUGGACGAUUUUUUCUUUAACUCCCCACCCAUCUGGUACAUGGCUCUAAGAAACAGAAGUCCAGACCCCUGGGCUCUGCCCUGGACAGAACCCAGGAGGUGGUUGGUAGAUUUUGGCAGCGUAGUUAGCACAGAGGGCAUCCCUCCUGUGCUCAGAAUGUCUUGGCUCUGUGGUCAGAACCACUCUCCUUGGAAAAAUAUCUUCUCUUUCUGUGUUUAAACAAUCACUCUCAAUCCCCAAAGAAACAGGAGGAAGGGUCUGGGAAUAAUAUAUAUAUAAAAAAUAUAUAAUAUAUCUGUAAAAUCCACUGAUAACCCAAGAGACUCAAAACCAAAUACAUAGUACCAGUGACUGUUUAUUAAAGAUUCAAUCAUUUUACAAUUGUUUUAUUUUCAUAGAUUUAUGGGGUACAAGAUGACUUCUGUUAUUUGUAUAUAUUGUAUAGUGGUGGAAUCUGGGCUUUUAGCGUACCCAUCACCUGAGAAUUGUACAUUGCACCCCAUCAGUGAAUUUUCGUCCCAUUUGUAUAUCUUUUGAAAAAUGCAUUUCAUGUCAUUUGCCCACUUUCUAAUGAGGUUGUUUUUUUUCUUUUUUC
This is a non-coding RNA of Microcebus murinus (gray mouse lemur), 3085 nucleotides long. The record is from RefSeq and is a predicted model, not a curated record. Lineage: Eukaryota; Metazoa; Chordata; Mammalia; Primates; Cheirogaleidae.